Long non-coding RNA from Alligator mississippiensis (American alligator), 1708 nucleotides. RefSeq lists it as uncharacterized. The transcript is spliced from 3 exons. The record is from RefSeq and is a predicted model, not a curated record. Lineage: Eukaryota; Metazoa; Chordata; Crocodylia; Alligatoridae.
CCCUGGGCAUGAGGGCAAGCACCACCCUCAUGUCCUUUGCUGCCCUCCUGCUCCCACAAUUUGAGGCCGAGACAUGCGAGGGGCAGACGAGAUGUUCGGCGAGUGCCAACUGGAGCCGAGCCUGGUCCAGUGCUACAGGGACCUGGCGAGAGUUGGAGAGGUGCUGGGAAAGAUCUUGUCCGAGGAACAAAAAAGAUCAUUCCUGCAGCAGAUUAUUCUGGCAAUUCAUCAUGGGUGGAUGCACAUCAAGAGAGCUGCACUGGUUUUCCUCUACACCAUCCUGGGGGAAACCAGCCUCCUGUUCAGGGACAAGGUCAGCAGCCACCUUGGGUGCAAGGGACUGAGAAAGGGCCCCUUGCCUCUGUGCCACGGCUUGUCUCUCUCCCGCAUUGCAAGGAGCAGAGAGAGGUCAUUAGCCAUGGCAGUGUGAGCUUUAGCACAAGGCAAGAUUGAUUUGCAUUGUAUAGAUGAACUGAAUCUGUGAGAUAUGUAUAUAAAGCCCAAGAUAAUGGUGACCCACAGGUCACGUCAGCAGAGGCUGAAGCCUGUACCUGUCUAUAAGUUGCAGAUCUCCCCUGACUUGUGAGGACACUGGCCACCAGGCUAACGGGGAGCCUGCCACGUGCUUUGGAGAAAACAAUAAAUUCAUCUGCCUGAGCAUGAUGGCACCUGCCUGUCCCACAGGAUGAGGGUCUCCAGUGAGGCCCAUGGAUAAAGAGCACUUCCCCAUCAGGACAAGCUUCCCCUUCCCAGGCUCAGGUCAGGAUUGUUCAGGAGCUGCACAGGGCCCAGGUCACUACAUGGGCACCAGUGCCAGAGACUCCUAGAAGAGCAGGGCUAAGGGGGACCCCAGGAGGUCAUCUCAUCCAGCUUCCUGCUCAGGGCAGGAUCAUGCCCAUCUCAAGAAAGCCGACACGUGUUUGUCCAAGCUCUUCCCUCUUGCCUUGAGAACAGCCGUCAGGCACAAGGACCAGGCAUCUCACACAUGAGACCUUGGACCCACUAUCAAUUGCCACAGGCAGUGCAGGCAGAGGGGGCACUGGCGCUGUCACUGGAGGGUGGACAGGACCUCCCGUGCACCGUGCACAGCUAAGCAGAGGGAACCAUUGGGAGCAUGAGAGCCCCUCCAUGAAUGAGGAGGGCAUCUAGCACCUCCCAGGGAGCCUAGCGGCUGUGGAGAGAUCCUGCAACAGUGCCGAAGCCACUGCACGAGAGUCACCAACCGAGCCGAUCCGCCCGCUCAGAGCUGUCCUCCCCCCAGACUUCAGCUUGUGCCCAAAGAAGCAGCCUGAGAAGCCCCUCGUGGGCGAAGGGUUCAACAAGGUCAUCCGUCAGCCCUGCCACGCCAAGGGUCACGAAAGAACAGACACCGUGCGCUCGUAGUCCCCAGGUUGCUAAAGGGAGGACACUUGAGUCAUGCGGGUGGCAUUUUGUUACCCCUGCCUCAGGGCUUUUGCCAGUCGCCGUUUGGGGCCAGGAAGGAAUUUUUCCCCCCUCAUCCAUGGAAGUAUCAUCUGGGGGGUUUUCGCCUUCUUCUGAAGCACUGGGACAAAGUCAGACCAUCCCGGCAUCUGUUGUGUUAGCAGCCUGCCUUAGCGCUCCCCCUGAAGGGACAAUCUUUCGAAGGCUGUGCAGGGAGAGACAAUGAACCAAAGGCACCAAGGAGAGAGAGGCUGUAGAAGUUAAAAGUAGCUUUAGAAUAGGAGUA